CGGGGUUUUGGUCGAAAGACCGCCUCCCACCCUUUGUUUAUAAAACCAGUUGCUUCGGCGAGACGCUGAUUCCUUGAAUUGGCUAUCUACUUUUAGUGGAUACGUGCUCGCCGAAGGACCCUUAAAACACUUGUUUUGGAGUUGUCUGAGUAAAAAACAAAAAGUUA
This 167-nucleotide unclassified non-coding RNA is filed under the name uncultured fungus. RNAcentral's name for it is "sequence contains ITS1, 5.8S rRNA gene". The record is from RNAcentral. Lineage: Eukaryota; Fungi.